Molecule: ribosomal RNA, 253 nt
Filed under: uncultured bacterium
Lineage: Bacteria
Description: partial 16S ribosomal RNA
Rfam family: Bacterial small subunit ribosomal RNA
Source: RNAcentral
GACGAAGGGGGCUAGCGUUGUUCGGAAUUACUGGGCGUAAAGCGCGUGUAGGCGGUUAUCCAAGUCAGGUGUGGAAGCCUUGAGCUCAACUCAAGAAAUGCACUUGGUACUGGGUGACUAGAGGACCGGAGAGGAUAGUGGAAUUCCCAGUGUAGUGGUGAAAUACGUAGAGAUUGGGAAGAACACCAGUGGCGAAGGCGGCUAUCUGGACGGUUUCUGACGCUAAGACGCGAAAGCGUGGGGAGCAAACAGG